AGAAUCGAUUUCCACAAAGUUCU
This 23-nucleotide small nuclear RNA is filed under the name Arabidopsis thaliana (thale cress). Its description in RNAcentral is "snRNA_16043". The record is from RNAcentral. Lineage: Eukaryota; Viridiplantae; Streptophyta; Magnoliopsida; Brassicales; Brassicaceae.